This 221-nucleotide long non-coding RNA is filed under the name Homo sapiens (human). RNAcentral's name for it is "non-protein coding lnc-CHD1L-4:1". The record is from RNAcentral. Lineage: Eukaryota; Metazoa; Chordata; Mammalia; Primates; Hominidae.
UUCAUACCAUAUCCCACUUUUUACCUCUAGCCUGGAGGCAAUCUCUGGACUUGCUAUUGAGGUUUGAGGUGAACUGUUCUAGUUGAUUUCUGUCACAGGUCUUCCUUUCAUGUCCUGCUGUCUUGCAUUUCCACUCCCUCAGUAACUCCCCUAUUCUUCUCACACUCCACAUUGUCAGUCCCUUUUCUUCCUUAGUUCAACUCAGUUGACUCUUUAGAGCA